AGGGUUUGAUUCUGGCUCAGGACGAACGCUGGCGGCGCGCCUAACACAUGCAAGUCGAACGGAGUUAAGAGGAGCUUGCUUUUCUUAACUUAGUGGCGAACGGGUGAGUAACGCGUGAGUAACCUGCCCUGGAGUGGGGGACAACAGUUGGAAACGACUGCUAAUACCGCAUAAGCCCACGGAACCGCAUGGUUCUGAGGGAAAAGGAUUUAUUCGCUUCAGGAUGGACUCGCGUCCAAUUAGCUAGUUGGUGAGGUAACGGCCCACCAAGGCGACGAUUGGUAGCCGGACUGAGAGGUUGAACGGCCACAUUGGGACUGAGACACGGCCCAG
RNAcentral lists this ribosomal RNA (333 nucleotides) under uncultured bacterium. Its description in RNAcentral is "bacterial SSU rRNA". It matches the Rfam family "Bacterial small subunit ribosomal RNA", at positions 8 to 334 of the family's 1533-position model. The record is from RNAcentral.